Molecule: ribosomal RNA, 1230 nt
Filed under: Pseudomonas sp.
Lineage: Bacteria; Pseudomonadati; Pseudomonadota; Gammaproteobacteria; Pseudomonadales; Pseudomonadaceae
Description: bacterial SSU rRNA
Rfam family: Bacterial small subunit ribosomal RNA
Source: RNAcentral
UCGAAAGGAACGCUACAUACCGACAUACGUCCUACGGGAGCGAAAGUCAGGGGACCUUCGGGCCUUGCGCUAUCAGAUGAGCCUAGGUCGGAUUAGCUAGUUGGUGAGGUAAUGGCUCACCAAGGCGACGAUCCGUAAACUGGUCUGAGAGGAUGAUCAGGUCACACUGGAACUGAGACACGGUCCAGACUCCUUACGGGAGGCAGCAGUGGGGAAUAUUGGACAAUGGGCGAAAGCCUGAUCCAGCCAUGCCGCGUGUGUGAAGGAAGGUCUUCGGAUUGUAAAGCACUUUAAGUUGGGAGGAAGGGCAGUAAAUUAAUACUUUGCUGUUUUUGACGUUACCGACAGAAUAAGCACCGGCUAACUCUGUGCCAGCAGCCGCGGUAAUACAGAGGGUGCAAGCGUUAAUCGGAAUUACUGGGCGUAAAGCGCGCGUAGGUGGUUCGUUAAGUUGGAUGUGAAAUCCCCGGGCUCAACCUGGGAACUGCAUCCAAAACUGGCGAGCUAGAGUAUGGUAGAGGGUGGUGGAAUUUCCUGUGUAGCGGUGAAAUGCGUAGAUAUAGGAAGGAACACCAGUGGCGAAGGCGACCACCUGGACUGAUACUGACACUGAGGUGCGAAAGCGUGGGGAGCAAACAGGAUUAGAUACCCUGGUAGUCCACGCCGUAAACGAUGUCUACUAGCCGUUGGGAGCCUUGAGCUCUUAGUGGCGCAGCUAACGCAUUAAGUUGACCGCCUGGGGAGUACGGCCGCAAGGUUAAAACUCACAUGAAUUGACAGGGGCCCGCACAAGCGGUGGAGCAUGUGGUUUAAUUCGAAGCAACGCGAAGAACCAUACCAGGCCCUUGACAUCCAAUGAACUUUCCAGAGAUGAAUUGGUGCCCUUCUGGCAACAUUGAGACAGGUGCUGCAUGGCUGUCAGUCAUCUUCGUGUCGUGAGAUGCUGGGUUUAGUUCCCGUAACGACCGCACCCCUCGUCCUUACUUACCAGCACGUUAUGGUGGGCACUCUAGGGAGACUGCCGGUGAACAACCGCAGGAAUGUGGGGAUGACGUUGCAGGUCAUCCAUGCCCUUUACGUCUGGGCCUACACACGUGCUACAAUGGAUCCGUACCAGAGGGGUGCCAAGCCGCGAGGGUGAACUAAUCACAUGAAACCGAUCUCAUUACAGUAUCGCAAUCUCGGAACUCGCACUGCUGUGAACGUCUGCAUCUGCCUGGUAAUUGGCUC